This 162-nucleotide ribosomal RNA is filed under the name Streptococcus suis. Lineage: Bacteria; Bacillati; Bacillota; Bacilli; Lactobacillales; Streptococcaceae. The record is from RNAcentral.
AGUGACGAUAGCCUAGGAGAUACACCUGUACCCAUGCCGAACACAGCAGUUAAGCCCUAGAACGCCUGAAGUAGUUGGGGGUUGCCCCCUGUUAGAUACGGUAGUCGCUUAGCAAGUUGGAGAGAGAUCUCCAUUUGGGAGUUUAGCUCAGCUGGGAGAGCA